UGUUGUCACAAGGUCUCUAUGGGAGCACGUGGAGAGGGCUCUAUA
Molecule: ribosomal RNA, 45 nt
Filed under: Metschnikowia aff. pulcherrima P01A016
Lineage: Eukaryota; Fungi; Ascomycota; Pichiomycetes; Serinales; Metschnikowiaceae
Description: partial small subunit ribosomal RNA
Source: RNAcentral